Molecule: ribosomal RNA, 235 nt
Filed under: uncultured bacterium
Lineage: Bacteria
Description: partial 16S ribosomal RNA
Rfam family: Bacterial small subunit ribosomal RNA
Source: RNAcentral
GACGAACGCUGGCGGCGUGCCUAACACAUGCAAGUCAGGGGAGAAGGAGGUAGCAAUACUUCCGGGAAACCGGCGCACGGGUGAGUAACACGUAGGUAACCUACCCUUGAGCGGGGAACAACAUCGAGAAAUCGGUGCUAAUACCGCAUAAUGCAACGAGACCGCAUGGUUUUGUUGUUAAAGAUCCGCAAGGAUCACUUGGAGGAGUGGACCUGGCCGCCCGAUUAGCUAGGUU